Molecule: long non-coding RNA, 8396 nt
Filed under: Selaginella moellendorffii
Lineage: Eukaryota; Viridiplantae; Streptophyta; Lycopodiopsida; Selaginellales; Selaginellaceae
Description: long non-coding RNA (SMOE_LNC002450)
Source: RNAcentral
CGCCAACCAGUGCCCGAUCCUGUCCGGUGGCGACGAAGGAUUCAAGUUCAAGCCCGGCAGCUACAGCGUCAAGAAGUUUUGCCUCGAGCCCACGUCCUUCACCGUGAAGAAGGAGUCGCCAUUCAAGGGUGGCGGCGAUCAAUACGUCGACACCAAGCUCAUGACGAGGCUGACAUACACGCUGGACGAGAUCGAGGCCGACUUGAGCGUGGACGAGAAGGGAAACCUCAAGCUGGUGGAGAAGGAUGGCAUCGACUACGCUGCGGUUACCGUCCAGCUCCCCGGAGGCGAGCGAGUUCCAUUCCUCUUCACCAUCAAGGAGCUCGUAGCGACUGGCUCCCCGGAUGGAUUCAGUGGAAGCUUUCUGGUGCCGUCUUACAGGGGCUCCUCGUUUCUAGACCCCAAGGGACGCGGUGGAUCCACCGGGUAUGACAAUGCGGUGGCGUUGCCGGCCGGAGGCGCUGGUGACGAGGAGGAGCUCGGCAAGGAGAACCUCAAAGAUACCUCGGGGUCGACUGGGAACAUCACCUUGAAGGUGGCGGAGAGUAACACCGCCACUGGAGAGAUUGCCGGGGUAUUUGAGAGCAUCCAGCCCUCGGACACGGAUCUGGGAUCGAAGGCUCCCAAGGAAGUGAAGAUCCAAGGUAUAUGGUACGCGCAACUUGACUAAAGAAAGAGUCACAAAAUCAGAGAGGAGAGAUGAUGUCCGGAUGUUUGAUCAGGAGAAAAUCCUUGCAUAAGAAGGCUGUCAUCUUCUCAAACGAGCGAUCUCACAUUGUAAAGUCUCAAAUCCUUUUUAAACUACAAAGCUGUUCCAAGAUUCCAUCUGUAGUAGCCAACGUUAAAAUCAAAUCACAUUUUUCUCAUCUGGAGCACAAGACUCUAUGAUAUCACAAUGGAUUGAAUCUUAACCGUCAGUUUGAACGGCCAUGAUCAUUCUCUCUCACGUAUAAAAUAAAGGAUAGGGUAAGGGUUUUCUACAAUUCGUAGGCGGUGGUUGCGUUUCUUGGUGAGUGGCUAUGGCGGUGUUGAUUUCUUGCUUGAAAUUCUGGGUCGGUGUGUGUGAUCUCUCAAGGAUUUCGUACCGGAUCUGAUCGAUUUAUCGUCUUUUUGCGAGACUGUAGGCUUCUUUCGGCAGCAGCGAUGCAGAUCUUUGUGAAAACCCUGACUGGCAAGACGAUCACUCUCGAGGUGGAGAGCUCGGACACCAUUGACAACGUUAAGACGAAGAUUCAGGACAAGGAAGGGAUUCCUCCGGACCAGCAGCGUCUCAUCUUUGCAGGUAAGCAGCUAGAGGACGGCAGGACCUUGGCGGACUACAACAUCCAGAAGGAGUCUACCCUCCAUCUCGUCCUGCGGCUGCGCGGCGGGAUGCAAAUCUUUGUGAAGACCCUGACCGGCAAGACCAUCACUCUGGAGGUGGAGAGCUCGGACACUAUUGACAACGUCAAGACGAAGAUCCAGGACAAGGAAGGAAUUCCUCCGGACCAGCAGCGACUUAUCUUCGCUGGGAAGCAGCUCGAGGAUGGACGCACCUUGGCGGACUAUAACAUCCAGAAGGAGUCGACCCUCCACCUUGUGCUUCGUCUUCGUGGAGGGAUGCAGAUCUUUGUCAAGACACUUACAGGGAAGACCAUCACUCUGGAGGUGGAGAGCUCGGAUACGAUUGACAACGUCAAGACUAAGAUCCAGGACAAGGAGGGAAUUCCCCCGGACCAGCAGCGUCUCAUCUUCGCCGGGAAGCAGCUUGAGGAUGGGCGUACGCUGGCGGACUACAACAUCCAGAAGGAAUCGACCCUCCACCUCGUCCUGCGGCUUCGUGGAGGCAUGCAGAUCUUCGUGAAGACCCUGACCGGCAAGACCAUCACCCUGGAGGUGGAGAGCUCGGACACGAUUGACAACGUGAAGACCAAGAUCCAGGACAAAGAAGGAAUUCCCCCGGACCAGCAGCGCCUCAUCUUCGCCGGAAAGCAGCUUGAGGACGGCAGGACUCUAGCCGACUACAACAUCCAGAAGGAGUCGACCCUCCAUCUCGUCCUCCGGCUCCGUGGAGGCAUGCAGAUUUUCGUCAAGACUCUCACCGGCAAGACCAUCACCCUGGAGGUGGAGAGCUCGGACACCAUCGACAAUGUGAAGACCAAGAUCCAGGAUAAAGAAGGCAUUCCUCCGGACCAGCAGCGUCUCAUCUUUGCCGGGAAGCAGCUCGAGGAUGGGCGUACCCUGGCGGAUUAUAACAUCCAGAAGGAGUCCACCCUCCAUCUCGUCCUUCGUCUGCGUGGUGGCCAAGCUUAAGUUCUCUACUGUGAAUGUAAGUAACCUCUCUUCCAUGCAAUAAAAAACGCACUGCCGCUUUCAACACCAUCUAAUUGAUGUCGACAAGGUGUCUAAAUAUAGUAUCAGAGUUCUAAAGCUAAACCUCCAACCCAUCUAGUUUGAGGUGGUUGUGCAUAAUAAACAGCAAUAAAAGAAAAGAACAUAAUUAUUAGUAAUACACUUUGGGAAGUCAUUGAGAUGAUUGUAACAAAAAAAUGUUUUUAACCCUGUCCGUUUUAGGAUUUUUCCACUUAUACGUAUAGAAGUCCCAGAUGGCGUGACGAAAGUCCGCUGCAGAACUGGCGCAUUCUUCCCAAAACCAUGUAAGCUUUUAUACAGCACCAGUUUUACAUUGGCGAUCUGCCUUAGUGACAGCGAUAACAAGUGCUGCCACCCAGAAAAUCACCACAACCACGUUAGCUAUGGCCUCGUAAAGCAUGGCUGACCAGUGCCACUUUGGGAGAUGGUCUCCCUCCACGAAAUGUGGAACCUUUUCCUUGUAGUGAAGCAGCCCCUUGCGCUGUCCAGGCUUGUAGCUGGGCGGACACAAAAUGUACACAAUUGGUACAAGCAUGUGUGUGCAAGUUGAAAGAAGAAAGAAGGACAUUGCGAUCACGUAAAAAUCAUGGCUGCAAUUUCGGCCUCUUUGCUUCGCUACCCAGGAAAUUCUGUAGGCCACCACUGCCAAGACCAGGAGUAUGUAGAUGAUGUGAACCUUAACAUGUUUGAGCUUGACAAGGAAAAAUUUGAUCAAGGCUGGCUGCUUGGUGAACUUGGCCUGUGCCGCAACUCGAUCGAUGCUGCUUGUUGGAGUGAAUGUGAAAGUGGAAGAGUACGAAAAGAUGGACUUGUAUAUGGUCUGGAGGAAGAAGGGUGUCAUCCACCAGAAAUGUGACUCGUCCCUGGAUGGAUUGUGGAAGACCGAGCCAGACUGAGAUCCAAGAAAGGCGCCAGAAAAUGAGGAAGAUGGCGAGCUGGAUGAUAACACGCCGCGCCUCAUGGGAGGUGCCGAUCAUGAGGUCCAAGUGAAGUGUAAGACAAACGAUGAAGAGGAGAAGCAUAACAAGGUUGACGAUUGCGAUGAAGUAGUAUCCCGUGUGCCAGAAGAAACUCACCUUGAGAACCAAGGAGAGUUUGCUCUUUGGCCCAAGCAUCUCUCUCCAUGUCGCAGAGAAUUGCUGUAUAGCUCCCUGGCACCACCGCUGCCGCUGCUUGAUAUAUCCUUCAAACGUCCACGGUGUAAGACCAAUCUAACAAUCAAAGGGGGAGUCAACAAAAGUCAUCGUGUUUUGAGCAACAGCAGACCUGAAGCUUGCGGUUGAGGUAGACGGACUUGAAGCCCUGGUUGAAGAGCUUGAAUGCGGUCAUGGUGUCUUUUGUGAUUGACAUUGGCUGGAAGCCUCCAAUCUCGUCCAGAUGUUUCCUUCGGAAGAUUGCUCCAGUUCCAACGCAGGGUGCGGCCCCAAAUGUGUACCUGUGAAUCAUGACACGCUCGUGGCCAAAUCCGCAAGCAUCAUUUAGAGGGUCUCCCACUGGCAGGUUAGAGGGAUUUGCACGAAUGACACUUUGGGGUCCUUCACUAUGUGAGGGAGCAAAGUCUUCAAGAAUGAGGGGUGAAGUAUCAUGUCUGCGUCCAUCAUCACCACGAACUCCGCGUCAGAAUGCUCCAGGCCGUAGUUAAGGUUACCGCAUUUGAAGUUGUGUGGGACUCCUGGAAUCUGCAACAGUGAGAUCAUGAGCACGCACUGGGAAGGGAAUAACAAUAUUGUAAGCUACCUUCUUUCUACGAAGAUAUUUGACACAAGCACUCUCCAAUUCCUCACAGUAUCGUUUUAGCUCAUCGUCCCCUCCAUCAUCAAGGACCAAAACUCGAAACUGGUGCUUGGGACAAUCCAUGGCCAGGGCAGCCUGAAUGGAAUCCUCGGGAACGUCAGUGGGCUCUUUAUAGCAGGGAAGAAAUAUGUCAACCGUCGGAAGCUCUUCCCAAUUCAACGAUAAACACUGACGGGGCCGCCAUAUUCGAGGCGGUAACACCGGAUCCGCAGCCGAAAUAACGCUGCUCGCAAAGUAUAUCACCUCGCAAGUCGUCAAAACUAUCAGCCACGGCCUCCUCGCGAGCUCUCCGGGAUGUUUAGAGUAAACAUAGAUCCUAUAAACGAGGUAAUUCACAAAUGCAGCUAUGUGUGUGCACAGACAAGGAUGCAGAUAAUAGUGUGCCAGAUUAGCUUCCCCCAAUGUGGUGUCGAUGUUGGAUGAAGAGAAGACGAAUUGGAUGAAGAUGGAGAAGAAGAAUCAUGGGAAUCGCUUGGAUCACUAAGAUCACUUGGUGGUGUCUCCUGCUGCCGCUGCAACUCAAGAUCUUUAAUGCUAGACAUGCUACUAUCUUAAUGAGUUUCCUUCGUUCCAGAGAAUUUAUUCGUGAGCAUAAUGUACUUUUCGUACAGCUGCAUUUGUGUAUGGUUGGUUGCUGUCUUGCAAAUUGUGUCUUGAUUCGUGUAAAGUUCCACUGAGAAGAGUUAUUUCGUAAGGAUGUUAAGAACUGCAAGCGAAAAACAAAUAUCAUGUGUAAAAGUUAGCUAAAUCUUCCGGUUUACAUUGGUGAAAUAAAGAAGUGGCAUGUACAACGAAAGUUGAUUGACUAUAUAGCACCUGCCUUACACCAGCGUCGAUCCGACUUGGUGACGAUUAUAACUAGGGCCGCCACCCAGAAGAUACUCGUAGCAACGUUAGAUAUCCCCUCGUAAAAGAUUAUUGACCAGUGCCACUUUGGGAGAUACUCUCCCUCCAGAAACUGUGGAACUCCUUCCUUGUAGUGAAGCAGUGACUUGCGCUCCCCAGGCUUGUAGCUAGGUGGGCACAAGAUGUACAUAAUUGGUAUAAGCAUGUGUGCACAGGUGGAAAGUAGAAAAAACGAUAUGGCGAUCACGUAGAAAUCAUUCUGGCAGUUUUUGCCACCUUGCUUGGCUAUCCAAUAAAUCCUGUAGCCAACCACACCCAAAACCAGGAAUAUGUAGAUAAUGUGCACCCUUACGUGCUUGAGUUUCACAAGGAACUUGAUCACCGCUGGUUGCUUCUUGAGCUUGGCUUGUGCUGCAGCACGGUCAAUGUUGCUUGUUGGAGUGAAUGUAAAGGUGGAAGAGUAUGAAAAGAUCGACUUGUAUAUCGUUUUGAAAAAGUAGGGGGUCAUCCACCAGAAAUGUGACUCGUCCCGGUUGCGACUUUGGAUUGACUGGGGAAGACCGAGCCAUACCGCGAACCAAGACAGGCGCCAGCAGAUAAGAAGAGCUGAGACAUUAAUAAGAAUGCGUCGGCUUUCAUCAAAGGUGCCAACAAUGAGGUCCAAGUUCAAGGUAAGGAGAAUUAUGAAGAGCAAGACCAUAACAAUGUUGAAAACUGAGAUGAAGUAGUAUCCGGUGUGCCAGAAGUAACACACCUUGAGUAGGAAUGAAAGCCUGCUCUUUGGCCCAAGCAUCUCUCUCCAUGUCGCAGAGAAUUGUUGUAUGGCUCCCUGGCACCACCGCUGCCGCUGCUUGAUAUAUCCUUCAAACGUCCACGGUGUAAGACCAAUCUAACAAUAAAAGGUGGAGUCAACAAAAGUCACCGUGUUUUGACCAACAGCAGACCUGAAGCUUGCGGUUGAGGUAGACGGACUUGAAGCCCUGGUUGAAGAGCUUGAAUGCGGUCAUCGUGUCUUCUGUGAUUGACAUUGGCUGGAAGCCUCCAAUCUCGUCCAGAUGUUUCCGUCGGAAGAUUGCUCCAGUUCCAACGCAUGGUGCGGCCCCCAAUGUGUCCCUGUGCACCAUGGCGCGGUCAUAGCCAAACCCGCUCGCAUCAUUUAGAGGAUCCCCCACCGGAAGAUUGUAAAACGACUGAGGUAUUUGUACGAAUGACACUUUGGGGUCUUUCACGAUAUGAGGGAGUAAAGUCUUCAGGAACGAUGGGUGAAGUAUCAUGUCUGCGUCCAUCAUCACCACGAACUCCGCGUCGGAAUGCUCCAGGCCGUAGUUAAGGUUACCGCAUUUGAAGUUGUGUGGGACUCCUGGAAUCUGUAACAAAUGGUCAUGAAAAAAGAAAUGUUAUAAAAGUUAACCUUUUCUCGACGAAGAUAUCGGACCGAAGCACUCGGAGGCUCGACAUGCUCCAAUACCUCACAGUAUUGUUUCAGCUGGUCGUCCCCUCCAUCAUCCAGGACCAAAACGCGAUACUGGUGCUUGGGAUAAUCCAUAGCCAGGGCAGCCUGAAUGGAAUCCUCUGGAACGUCAGUGGGCUCUUUGCAGCAGGGAAGAAAUAUAUCAACCGUGGGGAGCUCUUCCCAAUUCAAUGACAAACUCUGACGGGGCCGCCACAUGCGAGGUGGUAACACCAGAUCCACAGCUGCAAUAACGCUGUUCAGAAAGUAUAUCACCUCGCAGAUCGACAAAAUUAUCAGCCAAGGCCUUCUCACGAGCUCGCGGGGCUGCUUGGAGUAGACAUAGAACCUGUAACUGAGGUAAUUCACAAAUGCAGCUACGUGUGCUGAGACAAGGAGACAAAUGAUUGUGUGCCAGAUUAGCUUUCCCCAUGGAGAUGCUUGAGGAGCAGCUAACACAGAUGUGGAUGAUGAAGGAGAACUAGACAGAGACGAAGAAGAAGAUUCAUGGGGUGCAUUAGAAUCACUAUGGUCGCUAACAUUAUCACUUGGUUGCUGCUGCAACUCAAGAUCCCCCACACUAGACAUGAUGCUGUGGGAGGAGGAAUCACUGGAACAUCUUACAUAUUCAUGUUUGAAAGGGUUAUUAUAUAACGUGCCAUGUCCGUCCAGCUGUGCAUUUUGGUUGAGCUGUCAUUUUGUACAUCAUGGCGGCUUGUGAACAGAAACCAAACUUUUCAAUACUAAUCUAUCUUAGAAAAUAUCCUAAGCACGGGACGAUGUGUGAACAAUUAAAUAGAGGAAUUGAAUAAAUGGCACUCAGUUCAUUGUGUAGAUGCAAAGUAGUAUUCAAUGGAACAUAAAUGAGCUGACUGAUGAACGUGCGAACAACCUUGACAGACCAGCUAAUUCUUUACAUGAUCAUAAGUGGAUUACAAUGGUCUCUUUGAAUAAUAAAUCAGAUGUGUAUUAACGAAACAACUCCUCGGAAAACACUUGCAUGUAAUGGAGUGAUGAAAGAGAGCUGUAUAAACCUUGUUUACUUGUUGACAUACUUUCAAGAAUCGUUGAAUUCAACCGAGUAGAGCCUCUCGGCCUCGCAGUUGCUCCCAAAGUUGAUGCGCCGGGCAGACAGCUCCUCCCAAAUUGUCACGGCCACCUCACGAUCCUCGUCAAUGUGGAAACUGUAGUUAUCGAGCUUCUCACAACCUGUUUCCGUGUAGCGUGGAAUGUCGUUGCUCUUCGAGCUGAAAAAAGUAAUCUUCAUCGCCUUCUGAUUACUAUAUACCUACCGGAAGGAACGAGUGUGUUACCGACUGAUCCUCCAUCACCUGCUCGUCCUUCUUGACAAACACCUUGAAAACAUUUUGACACCUCUCAAUCCCAAAGCAGUCCAAGAACUUGUACUCUGGUGGAUCGACGUACCAGCGAAAGAUGUGGCUUGUGGAGAUCCCGUAAGAGAAUUGGAGCAAGUCUGGUAGUCAUUCUCAUGAAUUUCCCCUGUUUUUUUAUGCUCUAGACCGCCGCCGCGAAUCCAAAGCGCCUCACAUACGACGAGGUCCAAGCCCAGACGUAUCUCGAGGUGAAAGGCAGCGGCACCGCCAACCAGUGCCCGAUCCUGUCCGGUGGCGACGAAGGAUUCAAGUUCAAGCCCGGCAGCUACAGCGUCAAGAAGUUCUGCCUCGAGCCCACGUCCUUCACCGUGAAGAAGGAGUCGCCAUUCAAGGGUGGCGGCGAUCAAUACGUCGACACCAAGCUCAUGACGAGGCUGACAUACACGCUGGACGAGAUCGAGGCCGACUUGAGCGUGGACGAGAAGGGAAACCUCAAGCUGGUGGAGAAGGAUGGCAUCGACUACGCUGCGGUUACCGUCCAGCUCCCCGGAGGCGAGCGAGUUCCAUUCCUCUUCACCAUCAAGGAGCUCGUAGCGACUGGCUCCCCGGAUGGAUUCAGU